RNAcentral lists this long non-coding RNA (704 nucleotides) under Bemisia tabaci. RNAcentral's name for it is "lncRNA ENSSSA3NGG001136". The record is from RNAcentral. Lineage: Eukaryota; Metazoa; Arthropoda; Insecta; Hemiptera; Aleyrodidae.
UUUAGAAGUUUUGCAGGAGAUAAGUAAAAUUUAGCUCUUACCGCUUAUAUAACUGAAUUUUCUUCUGUGUCAAGCAUUUUCUUUUUCCAAUUCUCAGGAUGCAGCAAAUUCAACAUUUAUCUCCUCAGCAACAGCAACUGGUCCUGCAACAGCCACAGACAGCUGUGCAGCAACAACUGUUACAGCAACGCAUCCUCCUUCAACACCAGCAGCAGCAACAACGAUUUGCUGCUGUUCCAGCUCAAUGGCGACCCCAAGGGACAAAUAUGAAUGCCCCUCAGCGCCAUUUAAUCCAUGUUGAUGCAAAGGCUCAUGCCCAGUUACGGCAAAUGGAUCCAACUUUAAGGACAAUUUUUCUUCAACGAAUUAAUAAGCAGCAACAAGCCAUUUAUCAACAGCAGUUGCAGGUAAUCAAUGGUUAUAUUUUACAAAGAAGUCAUGUGAGCCUCUACUUGACGAGAAAUUAUUUGAGUAACAGUCCAUUUUUAAAAGUUCUCAUCCGAAUCAUUGUGUUUUCAAGAUAUGUUUAUCGGUUAAAAUUUUCACAAUGAAUGCCUUUACACGUUCAAAAAAAUUUCAGGAUUCAGCAUAUUCAUAACGAUAGUUAAAACUGUAAAAAGUUAUGGCCUCCUUACAGUCAAUCCUCUCGCACAACCCCCCUCUCUCUAACAAAUAGAGAUUUUUUUAAAAAAAUUCUCUCCCCC